UUUUUUUCUUUUCUUUCUUUCUUUCUUUCUUUCUCCUACUAUGUUCUAAUCUAAAUUGCUUAUAAUAGAUGUACAUUACUAUAAAACUCUUAUGGGACAUUCAAAUCACAAAUUACCUUUUUCUACAUAAUACAAAUCAUACUUUAUAUUAUAUGAACAAAUGAGAAAAAAAAAAAAAAAGCUCAGACAGUGUGGGACCCAAAAAGGUCACUCAAGGUAGGUCCCCUGAGAUACCCUCCUCCAUUGUUGAGUGCUUAAAAGCAGCUCCAAAGCACAUUCAUUUUGGCAUCCGAACAAAAUUAAAACUCCAUUUUUUCUUCUUUUUUUUUUCACACUCAAGAAUAUAAUUUCCCUCCUCACAGAUCUUUUCUCACUUUACCCUCAUACUUUUUUUUUAUUGUUUCUCAAGGAAAUAUUUAAGCUUUAAGCUAAGAAAGCUUCAAUCUUUCUCUUCCACCACACCUUCCUUUAUCCUCUGAGCUCAAUCAACUUAAGGAAGAAUAUAUCAUAAAGUGGCAUAACCCAAAGUGAAGUUAAAUUAUUAGGUAUGGGUUUGAAACCUAAUGCCAUGAAGAAUGUGGCUAUGGCGGCUGUUUCUGCUCUGUUUCUUCUAGGGUUUCUAGUUUGUUCUGUUUCUGGGUC
This 642-nucleotide long non-coding RNA is filed under the name Capsella grandiflora. RNAcentral describes it as "long non-coding RNA (CGRA_LNC001592)". The record is from RNAcentral. Lineage: Eukaryota; Viridiplantae; Streptophyta; Magnoliopsida; Brassicales; Brassicaceae.